This is a long non-coding RNA of Bombus pyrosoma, 688 nucleotides long. RefSeq lists it as uncharacterized. The transcript is spliced from 3 exons. The record is from RefSeq and is a predicted model, not a curated record. Lineage: Eukaryota; Metazoa; Arthropoda; Insecta; Hymenoptera; Apidae.
GCAAGUGCAAUUCGGAUCAAAGGCAACCAGUUCUCAUUAUUCAUUGACGCGUGCUACGAUUGAUCGUUUGACUUUCCGUAUCUGCCUGUAUCACCGUCACCCCUCCCACCACGCCACUUUGGAAACUAAGGUGCGACGAGUCCAUUCAGUCGUCUUAUUUUGUAUCGAUAACACGGAUCACGUUGCGUCAGGUCAUUGAUCGAUGGCAGGGAUAAUACAAAAGUAACAGGAGUAUUAAUAUACGGACGCAACGACGAUCAACGAUCAGUCUGAUGAAUUUUCAUGGAAAUUUGGUAAUGUUUAAUUUAUUAUUAUCUAAGACAGCUGUGUAUGAACAGUCCUAUUGCAUUUUUAUUCGAGUAUGGGUAACAUUUGAUAUACAAUUUAAAAUACACUUGAUGCAUAUUUCAUAAUAGAUCAUUUCGUAAUUAUUUGGAAUACGAAGAUGAAAGUAAAUACGAUUAAAUAAAUCAUUUUUUCUUUUUUCAUUCAAAUAUAUGAAAUCAUUCUCUUAUUUCAAACGAACUUGCAACAAAUUAUUUUAUCGUUUCAAUGUAAUUCAUAAUGUAGAAUUCUUGAUAAUUUAACGAUAGCUUCGUGUAGACAGAUUGAAACAUAGAAAUCUCAAUAAUAAUAGCUGAAACUAUUUCGAUAGGUAUAGAUAACAUACUAGGUAUCGGUAUAUCGA